GACGAGAUCUCUUGGUUGGGCUUCGGUUUACAUUAGAGGAAAGGCCCAUGCUCUGCAAGAGGACUGUGUUGACCGACUGUGUUGUGACAUACCGGAGAAGGAAAUCCAAAGACGUUACACAUGUCCGUGGAGUCCAAACGUCGUUAAAGCUUUAACGCCAGCAUUAACAGCAGCUUCCCACUCCUCUCACGAUCUCAGAUUCAAUGCCUCUCUCACCAAUGCUUCAAUAGAGUGAAUCUGCGAGUAUAAAUAUUUAUGGUCAACUCUGAGGAAAAGACAAAGAAGAGCAAAUGUGACUCCUUUCUUGGCAUGUUCGUUGUAUCUUUGUCACUUCUUAAAGCUUUCAGUUGUACCAGAUAGUGGAUAGUCAGGCUCUCAAGUCGCAUUCAUGAUGAUGACACCAUAGACGAGAGAAGACAUAAAGCUAGCUACAGUUUUGAAAACAAUAAAGAACUUGAAUGUUGAAAUUCCAUAUGUCUACUUCGGGAAAAUACCUUCUCAUUACGGCGUUUCUUGCUUCAAGAAACCAACCCAGCAAUGCUAGAUGCCUGGAUGUUUGACUCCACAGAGGACAUGGAUAAUCGUAAAAGAAAGCAGAAGUAAGUUUUAAAAACAGUAUAUGUGUUUCUGCUUUGGCGUAUGUUUCUUAACUGAAAAUUAUUUGAUUACUGAAUUUGAUGCAAGUGUACGUAUGAUAUCUGAAUAGAAUCUGAUGUUUUUUCUUGGUGAUGUUUCCUUCCCGGGCCUCUGAGAAAUGGAUGGAAAAGAAAGAACUUGCAGAGCAGGAAGCAGUCAAGAGCCUGAAAGCUUUCCGCUGGAGAGACUAUUGGCAAUGCUCCAGUGCGUGCGUUGUGUCUUUAGGAGAUUCUUCAUUUGGUGAAGAGGAAGUAGGAGAAAAAGAAGAUAUGGGGAACGACAAAGAGAAUAACAUGUUGUAUGGUAUAUUCUGCUUCAAGUGUUGAGUCUUGCAAAAUUCAUAAUCAAAAGCCGAAGCCGCCCGUUAGAAGGUUCUUUCAGGCACCGUUCCAUGGUGUCUCAUGAUCCGUCUCUGAAGGUUACGAGAAGCCUGAGCUUUCCACUGUCCAAAUACUUCUACAGCAAAGUGUGGCAAAAGAUUUGACAGAACUAGAGGUAUAUGUCUUUGUUUCUAAACACAAAAAUAAUGUGGUAUAUAUUCAUCGAAAAGUUGCGAUGUGGAUGCUAUGCAUCUAAUCAAGAUAGGCUUGAUUUUGUUAUGGGAUUCUACGACAUUAGAAUUUAGUAAGAGUAUAAGAAUAGCUAAAUAACUUUCAUCGUUGGCUUAUACAUAUGGCUUUGUUUUUUGUUUGAUUAAAUGGGCUAUAUAGUGGA
Brassica oleracea var. oleracea is the source of this 1350-nucleotide long non-coding RNA. RefSeq lists it as uncharacterized. The transcript has 4 exons. The record is from RefSeq and is a predicted model, not a curated record. NCBI's taxonomy places the organism in Eukaryota, Viridiplantae, Streptophyta, Magnoliopsida, Brassicales, Brassicaceae.